CAGUCGCCGCGGUAAUACGAAGGGUGCAAGCGUUAAUCGGAAUUACUGGGCGUAAAGCGUGCGUAGGCGGUUUGUUAAGUCUGUUGUGAAAUCCCCGGGCUCAACCUGGGAAUGGCAAUGGAUACUGGCAAGCUAGAGUGUGUCAGAGGAUGGUGGAAUUCCCGGUGCAGCGGUGAAAUGCGUAGAGAUCGGGAGGAACAUCAGUGGCGAAGGCGGCCAUCUGGGACAACACUGACGCUGAGGCACGAAAGCGUGGGGAGCAAACAGGAUUAGAUACCCCUGUAGUCCCUGUCUCUUAUAC
This 301-nucleotide ribosomal RNA is filed under the name uncultured bacterium. RNAcentral describes it as "partial 16S ribosomal RNA". It matches the Rfam family "Bacterial small subunit ribosomal RNA", at positions 509 to 807 of the family's 1533-position model. The record is from RNAcentral.